RNAcentral lists this ribosomal RNA (2322 nucleotides) under Klebsiella pneumoniae. RNAcentral's name for it is "partial 23S ribosomal RNA". It matches the Rfam family "Bacterial large subunit ribosomal RNA", at positions 492 to 2801 of the family's 2925-position model. The record is from RNAcentral. Lineage: Bacteria; Pseudomonadati; Pseudomonadota; Gammaproteobacteria; Enterobacterales; Enterobacteriaceae.
GAACCAGUACCGUGAGGGAAAGGCGAAAAGAACCCCGGCGAGGGGAGUGAAAAAGAACCUGAAACCGUGUACGUACAAGCAGUGGGAGCACCUUCGGGUGUGACUGCGUACCUUUUGUAUAAUGGGUCAGCGACUUAUAUUCUGUAGCAAGGUUAACCGUAUAGGGGAGCCGCAGGGAAACCGAGUCUUAACUGGGCGUUAAGUUGCAGGGUAUAGACCCGAAACCCGGUGAUCUAGCCAUGGGCAGGUUGAAGGUUGGGUAACACUAACUGGAGGACCGAACCGACUAAUGUUGAAAAAUUAGCGGAUGACUUGUGGCUGGGGGUGAAAGGCCAAUCAAACCGGGAGAUAGCUGGUUCUCCCCGAAAGCUAUUUAGGUAGCGCCUCGUGAACUCAUCUUCGGGGGUAGAGCACUGUUUCGGCUAGGGGGUCAUCCCGACUUACCAACCCGAUGCAAACUACGAAUACCGAAGAAUGUUAUCACGGGAGACACACGGCGGGUGCUAACGUCCGUCGUGAAGAGGGAAACAACCCAGACCGCCAGCUAAGGUCCCAAAGUCAUGGUUAAGUGGGAAACGAUGUGGGAAGGCACAGACAGCCAGGAUGUUGGCUUAGAAGCAGCCAUCAUUUAAAGAAAGCGUAAUAGCUCACUGGUCGAGUCGGCCUGCGCGGAAGAUGUAACGGGGCUAAACCAUGCACCGAAGCUGCGGCAGCGACACUAUGUGUUGUUGGGUAGGGGAGCGUUCUGUAAGCCUGCGAAGGUGUGCUGUGAGGCAUGCUGGAGGUAUCAGAAGUGCGAAUGCUGACAUAAGUAACGAUAAAGCGGGUGAAAAGCCCGCUCGCCGGAAGACCAAGGGUUCCUGUCCAACGUUAAUCGGGGCAGGGUGAGUCGACCCCUAAGGCGAGGCCGAAAGGCGUAGUCGAUGGGAAACAGGUUAAUAUUCCUGUACUUGGUGUUACUGCGAAGGGGGGACGGAGAAGGCUAUGUUAGCCGGGCGACGGUUGUCCCGGUUUAAGCAUGUAGGCUGGUUAUCCAGGCAAAUCCGGAUAAUCAAGGCUGAGGUGUGAUGACGAGGCACUACGGUGCUGAAGUAACAAAUGCCCUGCUUCCAGGAAAAGCCUCUAAGCAUCAGGUAACAUCAAAUCGUACCCCAAACCGACACAGGUGGUCAGGUAGAGAAUACCAAGGCGCUUGAGAGAACUCGGGUGAAGGAACUAGGCAAAAUGGUGCCGUAACUUCGGGAGAAGGCACGCUGGUGUGUAGGUGAAGUCCCUGCGGAUGGAGCUGAGACCAGUCGAAGAUACCAGCUGGCUGCAACUGUUUAUUAAAAACACAGCACUGUGCAAACACGAAAGUGGACGUAUACGGUGUGACGCCUGCCCGGUGCCGGAAGGUUAAUUGAUGGGGUUAUCCGUAAGGAGAAGCUCUUGAUCGAAGCCCCGGUAAACGGCGGCCGUAACUAUAACGGUCCUAAGGUAGCGAAAUUCCUUGUCGGGUAAGUUCCGACCUGCACGAAUGGCGUAAUGAUGGCCAGGCUGUCUCCACCCGAGACUCAGUGAAAUUGAACUCGCUGUGAAGAUGCAGUGUACCCGCGGCAAGACGGAAAGACCCCGUGAACCUUUACUAUAGCUUGACACUGAACAUUGAGCCUUGAUGUGUAGGAUAGGUGGGAGGCUUUGAAGCGUGGACGCCAGUCUGCGUGGAGCCAACCUUGAAAUACCACCCUUUAAUGUUUGAUGUUCUAACGUUGGCCCCUGACCGGGGUUGCGGACAGUGUCUGGUGGGUAGUUUGACUGGGGCGGUCUCCUCCCAAAGCGUAACGGAGGAGCACGAAGGUUAGCUAAUCCUGGUCGGACAUCAGGAGGUUAGUGCAAUGGCAUAAGCUAGCUUGACUGCGAGCGUGACGGCGCGAGCAGGUGCGAAAGCAGGUCAUAGUGAUCCGGUGGUUCUGAAUGGAAGGGCCAUCGCUCAACGGAUAAAAGGUACUCCGGGGAUAACAGGCUGAUACCGCCCAAGAGUUCAUAUCGACGGCGGUGUUUGGCACCUCGAUGUCGGCUCAUCACAUCCUGGGGCUGAAGUAGGUCCCAAGGGUAUGGCUGUUCGCCAUUUAAAGUGGUACGCGAGCUGGGUUUAGAACGUCGUGAGACAGUUCGGUCCCUAUCUGCCGUGGGCGCUGGAGAAUUGAGGGGGGCUGCUCCUAGUACGAGAGGACCGGAGUGGACGCAUCACUGGUGUUCGGGUUGUCAUGCCAAUGGCACUGCCCGGUAGCUAAAUGCGGAAGAGAUAAGUGCUGAAAGCAUCUAAGCACGAAACUUGCCCCG